AUCCAACUGACGAGUCCCAAAUAGGACGAAACGUGCUUCCUGGAU
This 45-nucleotide non-coding RNA is filed under the name Schistosoma mattheei. Lineage: Eukaryota; Metazoa; Platyhelminthes; Trematoda; Strigeidida; Schistosomatidae. The record is from RNAcentral.